GGCCUAACACAUGCAAGUCGAGGGGUAUUGGUUUUCGGACCAAGAGACCGGCGCACGGGUGCGUAACGCGUAUGCAAUCUACCUUUCACAGAGGGAUAGCCCAGAGAAAUUUGGAUUAAUACCUCAUAGUAUAGUACCUUGGCAUCAAGGAACUAUUAAAGUCACAACGGUGAAAGAUGAGCAUGCGUCCCAUUAGCUAGUUGGUAUGGUAACGGCAUACCAAGGCUACGAUGGGUAGGGGUCCUGAGAGGGAGAUCCCCCACACUGGUACUGAGACACGGACCAGACUCCUACGGGAGGCAGCAGUGAGGAAUAUUGGACAAUGGGCGCAAGCCUGAUCCAGCCAUGCCGCGUGCAGGAUGACGGUCCUAUGGAUUGUAAACUGCUUUUGCACAGGAAGAAACAACGCUACGUGUAGCGUCUUGACGGUACUGUGAGAAUAAGGAUCGG
This 450-nucleotide ribosomal RNA is filed under the name uncultured Flavobacteriia bacterium. RNAcentral's name for it is "bacterial SSU rRNA". It matches the Rfam family "Bacterial small subunit ribosomal RNA", at positions 45 to 496 of the family's 1533-position model. Lineage: Bacteria; Pseudomonadati; Bacteroidota; Flavobacteriia. The record is from RNAcentral.